AGCUGACACAGAUGGUGGGAGGUGCUCGUGCCUCUCACGGUGAUCAGAAACAUCACCGUUGCAGGUGACGCCACUUCACUUAACACUGGGUGUGGGCGGAUUCAUCCGCUCUGAAAAUUACGUCUUUGGUGGACAUCAGCGUGGACUUGGGUUGUCUUUUCACUUUCUUGCUAAUGUCCUUGGAUGAUCCACAACUUUUCCAAAGCAGGCCAAGCUAUAAAUAAAGGGUGGACUGACCUUGUCAACUGUUAAAUUGGAGCCGUGGUGCGUUGCCUAGAACAUUGCGGAUGACCCCGAGCAGCACAGCAGAUCAACGGCUGAGAAAGAGCUCAUUCAGCUCAUCUAACUAGGAUGCUGUCCUGCCAGAGCCCUGGGGGUUCUCGUCUCCUGGGGCAAAAGCAGCAUGCAACCCUUAUGAACCCAUCUUGGAAGGCAUUCGGGGAGCCCAAGACAAGACCAUUGGGAGCCUCAGGGUCACUUGUGGGGGUCUCUGUGCUGGACGGCUGUACCUCUCAUGAAAUGGACAACUGACCAUAAGAAGGAGGUUAGCCUUUGUGGCUUGGGCAUCCAGCCUUUCAGAGAUAUGAAACCACACACGUCUUCAGAGUGAACAGCUGCUCACCCCGAUGUGCUCAAGGGGUGCAGGAUGUGGACACAUCCUACUGAAUGAGCCAGACAACGUAACUGGAUCUGUCCAGAACACCACGAUGGGUGACAUUGCCAUCUGCAGCAGUGCUGUACUUCCUCCCGCCAAUUUGUAAAGUGCAGACAGGAUGCUGGAUCAACUGGCUGCUGCUGAGGCCAGUGACCUCUAGGGCGUAUUCCCACGUUCCUUUGCAGUAGCUGCUCACCUUUGUAAGCAUGUGAGUUAUUCGUGCUGUCUGUUGUGAUCCUAAGGAAUCCAAUGGUCAGGACCAGAACUUCUGAAGUACAGCCCAGCAUUGCCGUCUGGCAUCCCCAGAAAGCAGAUUUUGAGAUUGGCAUGAUGGCCGUUAAGCAGGGCGUUCUCUCUGGAGCAAUGUCUAGCCGGGGUCGGAGUGGGGAGAGAGAGAGGGGGGCUGCUGAGAAUAUCACAGAGAGAUGGCAGCCUUUCUGCAGCAUAGGCCUAAGUGCACACUCACCUGGCUAUCACUGAGAGGACUCUCUGUUCAACAGGGCCACUCAGGGCUUCCCCUGCAUGGAGAUCUGAGUGUCCAGGGAGGGGACGUGGUGAGCAUUUCUCUGGUCAAAGUGUGCAAAGCAAAAUCUGCCCCAUUCCUGCCAAAGUGGUUGACAUGGAGGAAAGGGGAGUGCCAGUUCUGUAGGCUGAGGUGGUGGCUGUUAGAACUGCUCCUAGGCUAGUUGGUGUUCUGGAAGGUUCCCCUCUAUGUGAGAUGAAAGAGCAUAUCUUUAAGAGCUGCAACUUUGAAGCUCUAAUAUAGAAUGCUUUUGGUGGCAAGCAUUACUUCGGAAAGGGCUUGAAGACCCCUGAAGAUCCUUGGUGGCCUAGGCAGUUCCUUUAUUGCCAGGGCUGUGCAGGACUAAGCUUCAACAGCGCCACCAUGUGACAAGAAGCAAUUGCAGUGGUGCAUUGAGGGUUUUCUUUUGCACUGAGAACUCAAGUCCCACUUUCACCCUUGGACCUGGUAAAUCUUUGGGGUUCAUGGACAAUUCUGAGGAGGAGAUACUUAAGAGAGUGAUGUUAGAAUUUGAUGUUUUGGUUUAUUGUAUCAGAAAAUAAAAGAAAUUGGAUUUA
Molecule: long non-coding RNA, 1735 nt
Filed under: Homo sapiens (human)
Lineage: Eukaryota; Metazoa; Chordata; Mammalia; Primates; Hominidae
Description: HSALNT0331723
Source: RNAcentral